Molecule: small RNA, 305 nt
Filed under: Plasmodium praefalciparum (nom. ined.)
Lineage: Eukaryota; Apicomplexa; Aconoidasida; Haemosporida; Plasmodiidae
Description: Plasmodium sp. gorilla clade G1 Plasmodium RNA of unknown function RUF5
Source: RNAcentral
UAUAUUUAUGUGUAUGAUUUAUAUGCUGAUUCCUUUUUUUUCUUCUUCUUUUUCUUCUUCUUUUUCUUCUUCUUUUUCUUCUUCUUCUUUUUCUUCUUCUUCUUUUUCUUCUUUUUUUUUGUGAUACAUUUUUGUUUUGUUGUUGAUCCUAUAUCUCAUUAUCUUGUUCAUUUUAAAAAAAAACGUUAAUACUGUAAAUAUGUUAUAAAGUUAAAAAAUUCCAAAAGUAUACAUUCCCAUAUAAAACACAUCCCAUAAAAAAAAAAAAAAUAUAUUACACACACAUAUAUAUAUAUAUAUAUAUA